Molecule: long non-coding RNA, 1088 nt
Filed under: Homo sapiens (human)
Lineage: Eukaryota; Metazoa; Chordata; Mammalia; Primates; Hominidae
Description: HSALNT0249476
Source: RNAcentral
GUGAUGCUCCUAAAUCCAGUUAGAAACAGUUUGAGAGCCAGGUUACUUGUGUAUAUUAGGAUUAUGUGGGCAAAAAUGCUGGUGAAAUUAACUGGGAGUUUCAGCCUUGUUAUUGGCAUGUUGGGGAAUUUUCCUGGUAUCAGAUAUGUGGCUGAAUAGAUGAGCUAUGCCUGGUUAAAAGUGCUUUAUCAAUCUGUAAGCAAACUUCCUUUUCCUGCCUGGAAAUGUUCACUUUACCAGAUCGGUAGGCAUCAUUGCAUUUGGCCAACUAUCUUGAUGGUUUCUUUACCUUACUUUCUGGAAAGGUCCCAAUGCUACUGUCAAGAGGAGGUAUGGCCAGAUACUCAAAUUUGCUCCAGACUUUGCUGUAUAUCAGAUGAUCCCAUGAUGCUUGCAGCCUGGAACAGUUCCUUAUAAAGGGAGAGAGGGGACAAAAUCACUUAUGCUGAAGCAACUUUAAGCAAUACACUGAAGAUUUCAAGGUAGGCAAAUUCAAACAUGUUUCUGACUUUUGGACAGACAAGCAAGUAGAUAUCUACUCUCAGGCUCUACUUUUCCUUUUUUUUUAUUUUUUUUAUUUUUAUUUUUGGAGAGGGAGUCUCACUCUGUCGCCAGGCUGGAGUGCAGUGGUGAGAACCUGGCACACUGCAACCUCUGCCUCCAGGUUCAAGAAAUUCUCCUGCCUCAGCCUCCCGAGUAGCUGGGACUACAGGUGUGUGCCACCACACCUGGCUAAUUUUUUGUAUUUUUAGUAGAGACGGGGUUUCACCAUGUUAGCCAGGAUGAUCUCAAUCUCCUGACCUCUUGAUCCACCCUCCUCAGACUUCCAAAGUGCUGGGAUUACAGGCGUGUGCCACCAUGCCUGGCCAACUCUGCUUAUCUUUUGCGACUUUAUAUUCCCAAGAUCCAUGGUCUAGAGAAUAAUAAGGACUUUAUACAUCUUGCUAAGAUAAUAACAGAGGGACAUCUGGAACAAUUUGGUCAGAUAUUUAUUUAUAUUUAUAUCUAUAUCUGUAUUUAUCUCCGUGUGUGUUAACCAUCCCAUUGAUUUUGUGUUAGGCAUGGAUUCCUAAGAGCUCAAUGGUUAU